This 589-nucleotide ribosomal RNA is filed under the name uncultured bacterium. RNAcentral's name for it is "bacterial SSU rRNA". It matches the Rfam family "Bacterial small subunit ribosomal RNA", at positions 254 to 859 of the family's 1533-position model. The record is from RNAcentral.
GGGGUAACGGCCUACCAAGCCGAUGAUCCGUAGGGGGCGUGAGAGCGUGGCCCCCCACACUGGCACUGAGACACGGGCCAGACUCCUACGGGAGGCAGCAGUGAGGAAUAUUGCACAAUGGGCGCAAGCCUGAUGCAGCAACGCCGCGUGAGGGACGAAGGCCUUCGGGUUGUAAACCUCUUUUCUGAGGGACGAGGAAGGACGGUACCUCAGGAAUAAGUCUCGGCUAACUACGUGCCAGCAGCCGCGGUAAAACGUAGGAGGCGAGCGUUAUCCGGAUUUACUGGGCGUAAAGCGCGCGCAGGUGGCUUCGUGAGUCGGACAUGAAAGCUCCUGGCUUAACUGGGAGAGGCUGUUCGAUACUGCGGGGCUUGAGGUUGGGAGAGGGACGCGGAAUUCCCGGUGUAGUGGUGGAAUGCGUAGAUAUCGGGAGGAACACCAGUGGCGCAAGCGGCGUCCUGGCCCACACCUGACGCUGAGGUGCGAAAGCGUGGGUAGCAAACAGGAUUAGAUACCCUGGUAGUCCACGCUGUAAACGAUGUCAACUGGGUGUCGGUAGUUUUACACUAUCGGUGCCGAAGCUAACGCG